Long non-coding RNA from Ornithorhynchus anatinus (platypus), 401 nucleotides. RefSeq lists it as uncharacterized. NCBI's taxonomy places the organism in Eukaryota, Metazoa, Chordata, Mammalia, Monotremata, Ornithorhynchidae. The record is from RefSeq and is a predicted model, not a curated record. The transcript is spliced from 3 exons.
GACAGAGGCAUACAGAAGAUAUGUGGAGCAUGAAGCAGCCAGGAGAGCAGCAUAUGGAAGCAGAAAGAAGAAGCAUUGGCCGAAUAGGCUCCUUUGACCACAGACUGAUAUUGGACUCUUGGGAUACUGAGAAUAACGCAGGGAAUGACAAGAAGACCAAAGUUCUAUAAUUACAACCCCAGGGAACACCGGACCACAUCCUUCAUUCGUCUCUAUUUCUGACACCAUCAAAAUAUGUUCAAGGUUUGAUCCUGACUGAAAGGAAGCUCUGGAUUGAAAAGAACCACUCCAUUCUUGAUCGACAGGGAGACAUGCUGGUGCACCCUCCAGCAACUGACUCCUAGUUCUCACUGGAUUGUAGCAUUGUUUGAAGCUUUGUGUAUCUGUGUCCUUAAAAUGUU